Oncorhynchus tshawytscha (Chinook salmon) is the source of this 483-nucleotide long non-coding RNA. The record is from Ensembl. Lineage: Eukaryota; Metazoa; Chordata; Actinopteri; Salmoniformes; Salmonidae.
GUAGUCUAGUGGUUAGAGGAGGCAGGUAGUCUAGUGGUUAGUGGAGGCAGGUAGUCUAGUGGUUAGAGGAGGCAGGUAGUCUAGUGGUUAGUGGAGGCAGGUAGUCUAGUGGUUAGAGGAGGCAGGUAGUCUAGUGGUUAGUGGAGGCAGGUCGUCUAGUGGUUAGAGGAGGCAGGUAGUCUAGUGGUUAGAGGAGGCAGGUAGUCUAGUGGUUAGAGGAGGCAGGUAGUCUAGUGGUUAGUGGAGGCAGGUAGUCUAAUGGUUAGAGGAGGCAGGUAGUCUAGUGGUUAGAGGAGGCAGGUAGUCUAGUGGUUAGAGGAGGCAGGUAGUCUAGUGGUUAGAGGAGGCAGGUAGUCUAGUGGUUAGAGGAGGCAGGUAGUCUAGUGGUUAGAGGAGUCAGGUAGUCUAGUGGUUAGAGGAGGCAGGUAGUCUAGUGGUUAGAGGAGGCAGGUAGCCUAGUGGUUAGAGGAGGCAGGUAGUCUA